UGAGGAAUAUUGGUCAAUGGGCGAGAGCCUGAACCAGCCAAGUAGCGUGCAGGAUGACGGCCCUAUGGGUUGUAAAAUGCUUUUAUGAGGGGAUAAAGUGCGUGACGUGACAUGCAUUGCAGGUACCACAUGAAUAAGGACCGGCUAAUUCCGUGCCAGCAGCCGCGGUAAUACGGAAGGUCCGGGCGUUAUCUGGAUUUAUUGGGUUUAAAGGGAGCGUAGGUUGUCUAUUAAGCGUGUUGUGAAAUAUACCGGCUCAACCGGUGGCUUGCAGCGCGAACUGGUCGACUUGAGUAUGCAGAAAGUAGGCGGAAUUCAUGGUGUAGCGGUGAAAUGCUUAGAUAUCAUGACGAACACCGAUUGCGCAAGCAGCUUACUGUAGCAUAACUGACGCUGAUGCUCGAAGGUGCGGGUAUCAAACAGG
RNAcentral lists this ribosomal RNA (424 nucleotides) under Verrucomicrobiota bacterium. RNAcentral describes it as "Verrucomicrobia bacterium partial 16S ribosomal RNA". It matches the Rfam family "Bacterial small subunit ribosomal RNA", at positions 355 to 776 of the family's 1533-position model. The record is from RNAcentral. Lineage: Bacteria; Pseudomonadati; Verrucomicrobiota.